Molecule: long non-coding RNA, 291 nt
Organism: Pseudophryne corroboree (corroboree frog)
Lineage: Eukaryota; Metazoa; Chordata; Amphibia; Anura; Myobatrachidae
Exons: 3
Source: RefSeq, a predicted model, not a curated record
AAAAGGGAAGCCCAUGGGCACAGCAUUCUGUCCCUCCUGGAGAGGGUCAUGUUGGGAGAUAUGAAGUCACUGAUUUCUUCCUGUUUCUGGAACUACAGAAGUCGUACAAAUCAGAACAAAAGAAAAAAGAAAAAAAAAGGUUAUCAGAUAAUUCCACUGGAUAAACUCACUGACGACUAAGAAUGUGGACAUUUUUCCACCACUGGGUUAUGAUCCUGUCAGUACAUUAAAGUAAGUGGCAUUAGCCAACUUAAUGCCAGGAUAAUCUGUGAGCUGUUACCUGCCAGAGUG